Non-coding RNA from Cinara cedri, 290 nucleotides. Lineage: Eukaryota; Metazoa; Arthropoda; Insecta; Hemiptera; Aphididae. The record is from the annotation of a GenBank genome assembly.
GGCACGAUGGACUCAUGUACAAACUUAAAAAGUUCUUACCCGCCCCUCUUUUCCUCUUGAUAAAAUCAUAUCUGUCAAAUCGUUUCUUUACUGUUCGCCUAAACAACACCUACACAACCCGUUACACUAUUAGAGCUGGAGUCCCACAAGGAAGCGACAUCGCCCCAUUCCUUUACUCGAUUUUCACUCAUGACAUACCCAAGACAUUUUAUACAUCCUUAGGCACAUACGCCGAUGACACGCUAAUAACCGCCUCCCACGAAAGCCACGUCACAGCCAAUGAAAUGAUC